AGGUUUCCCUAUGUGCAGACAUCGAGCAGAGCUACUCGUAAGGGGUCCCAACGCCUUAUGAAAUUUAAACAAUCAAGAUGAAGCCACUAACCUGUGAAAGUUCUAUUCAUCUAGUGUAGACAGCCAGGUUACAACAUGCGCCCCAGGCCCCUGGCACGGUGCUCUGUGGAGGGUGCUCGAGGCUCAGCCACCUUGCCGGCCCCUGAGCCUCCCCUCCUCUGGGGACCUUCCGCUAAGACCAGCACGUCUUCUCAUGCCCCACACAGAGCCAAGCUCCUUCCUAGCCUGCCUGGAUUCUCCUACCUGGAAUCCCCUGUCCACAUCAAUUAAAGCAACAAACAAGCCACGA
Molecule: long non-coding RNA, 349 nt
Organism: Homo sapiens (human)
Lineage: Eukaryota; Metazoa; Chordata; Mammalia; Primates; Hominidae
Gene: CAMTA1-AS3
Product: CAMTA1 antisense RNA 3
Source: Ensembl